GAGCUUUUUGUCACAUUGUGCUUGGGUUUUAGGAGCCUUCAGGUGAGGCGGGUGUACAGGGCUCUGAAGAAAUACUGUAGCUUAGUAACAUAUUAGAGAGGUUACUCUGGGAGUCAGGAAAUGUUUGGGGCAGAUGAGGGACUCCAAGGAUAAGGAUACAAAGCCAAAUUGUAUUAGGUACCAGGAGCAGCAAAGAAAAGGGCUGAAGUCAGUUUUAUGGUCCAGAGGAGUGCUCUGGGAUAUAGUGGGAGGCACAGGAUGUGCUUGGCUGGGGCUUCUCCAAACUCUUUGCUCCUGCUCUGACAGUACCCCCCCAGUGAGACACCAACGGCCCCCGUUUGCAGCUGCAUUCCUUUCCCAGGCUUAGAACAAAAGCCCUCGCUGCAAAAACUGAGAGUUUGGUUCAAAAUAUGGAGAUUUGUUAAAUGAGCGCUCAGUUUGUUUAUUUCCUUGCUCAUUUCAGCAGAAUUGGGUGCUUGAUGUUUCAGACACAGUUCUUCACCACUGUUACAGUAACCGCUCAGGUAGCUAGGGAGAGUGAGGGCUCCCGGGGCAGCAGGAGCAGACUUUGGGAACCUUUGUGGGCUCUUCCAGCGCAGAUAUCCCAGUGGGAGGGCCGGGCUGGGCUGCAGCUGCUCUGGCAGCACGUGGAGCUUCAGAGCUGUGUGGUGGUGCUGGCAGGGCCAGGACCUGGCUUUGCCCCACGGGCAGAGCCACCAGCCCUGCUGCUGGAGCAGGACAGACCUGAGCCCUGCCCUGCUGUGCCAGCCCUGCCGUCUGCCCCUCGGGUGGGGCUCAGUGAGGGGACAGAUCAGGACAAGCUCCAAGGGGCUCGGCAGGGGCAGCACGGACUGCUCUUGGUGCCCUUGGUGCUGGGUUUCCUCCACAGCAGCAUUUGCAUCUCUGUAAUUACACUGCUGUUUGGUCACCUGGGGCUUACCCCAGUUACUGUCUCACUGGCUUCUGUGAAUGCUUAGAAAAGUGAGCACUAAAAUGCUGCUUCUUGGUUUAUCUCUGUCUUCAUUUGCUCUCUCCAGUGAGGGUUGGGGAAAUUUCCUGCAUUACCAGUCAUUACUGGUUUGAACUCAGGUGGUCACUUGCCUGUUCAGAAGCUCUUUUCAUCCCAGUGCCAGCAGUUCCAUUGCAAAGAGUGCUACAUAAACCCAGAACCUCACUGUUCCUGUUUCCUGAGCAAGGAACAAAGUUAUAUUUUUACAGAAAACUGGAACUCUGGAGAGCGAAGAGACCUUAUCCAAGGAGUCGUACCUAAAAAAGCAUUAGAGCUCAGUGGUUGCUGGGCUGUGAUCUAGUUCCGUGUGUGUGUAAAUUUUGGAAUCUUGCUGGCAGCAUGGACACAUCCAGAUAUUUGAGACUGCUGUCUUGGAGUGAGCACAGUGUUUUGGGGCAGUUGUAGCACACUGAAGGUGAUGAACCACAGAAAAGAUCAUAUUGUUGAACAUAUUACAGGAUACAUGUUCUUCCUGACCAGAGUGUGGGAUGUGUCAGGGGGUGAGGGCUGGAUUGAAGGAAUCUAUGGGGGUAAGCUGGGCAGGGAAGGGCCUAGGAGAAAGGUUCAGCCUGGCCGUCUGUUCCAGGCUCUGCAUUGCAAUAGCCAAGGUGGGUUUGCUUGCCCAUGGGGGAAGGAGUUCAGGCGUAAAAAUCACAGGGAUGCCUUCCUCCAAGCUGGCUGCUCCACAGAGACCUUUUGAGAGAAGGGCUGUGCUCUGUCCAUGGCUCAUGCUGGUGUUGAGCCUUGCCCAACACCCAGGGAUGGCAGUGGAGCUGGGGAAGGGCCUGGAGCAGGAGUCUGAGGAGUGGCUCAGGGAGCUGGGAAAGGUUCAGCCUGGAGAAAAGGAGGAUCAAGGUGACUUUCUCACUCUCUGCACCUCCUUGAUGGGAGGGUGCAGCCAGGUGGGGGUCAUGCUUGUCUCCCAGGAAACAGUGGACAGGAGAAGAGGAGAAGUCUCAAGCUGUGCCAGGGAUGCUCACAACUGCAUUCCCGAGCUGGACAGUGAAACAGCCAUGUUCUCUGUCUACGAUGGACACGGAGGAGAAGAAGUUGCCCUGUACUGUGCCAAGUACCUCCCUGAGAUCAUCAAAGACCAGAAGGCCUACAAGGAAGGCAAAUUGCAAAAGGCCCUGGAAGAUGCAUUCUUGGCCAUUGAUGCCAAGCUCACCACAGAGGAGGUGAUUAAGGAGCUCUCUCAAAUGGCUGGGCGGCCACAGGACGAUGAAGAUGAGAAGGAGAAAGUUGCUGAUGAAGAUGAUGUGGAUAAUGAGGAAGCUGCUCUUCUGCACGAAGAAGCCACAAUGACCAUUGAGGAGCUUCUCACACGUUAUGGACAAAACUGCACCAAGAACCUCAAAGCCAAGUCUGUAGCUGCAGCUGGGGAUAAUGCUGUGGAGGGGACAGGCAAGCAGCAUGAUGGGGAGUCAAAUAUGAAUGGAGAGGCUGACCCAGGGGAGCUUCCCGACCACAAGGAGAGGAAGAAUGGGAAGCCAGACGAAGAAAUCACGGGUAUUUCCUCCACCUCAGACAAAGCCAGCGCUGGAGGCAACAGCCCUGCUCUGCAGAAGCCUGAACUAGGCAAAGGUGACGAGGCCGUCACCUCUUCUACUGGGGAGGCCGGGCCCUCCUGCUCCUCUACGGGAAAGCCCCAGCGCACAACCAAAUCCAAAUUUUUUGAGGACAGUGAGGAUGAGUCAGAUGAGGUUGAGGAAGAGGAGGAAGACAGUGAGGAAUGUAGUGAGGACGAGGACGGUUACAGCAGUGAAGAGGCAGAGAAUGAAGAUGAUGAAGAUGACACUGAAGAAGCAGAGGAGGAUGAGGAUGAAGAGGAGGAAAUGUUGUUACCGGGCAUGGAGGGGAAAGAGGAGCCCGGCUCAGACAGCGGGACCACGGCUGUGGUGGCGCUCAUCCGGGGCAAGCAGCUGAUCGUGGCCAACGCCGGGGACUCGCGCUGCGUCGUGUCGGAGGGCGGCAAGGCCGUCGACAUGUCCUACGACCACAAGCCAGAGGAUGAGGUGGAGCUGGCCAGGAUAAAGAAUGCUGGGGGCAAGGUCACCAUGGACGGAAGGGUGAACGGCGGCCUCAACCUCUCCAGGGCCAUCGGGCACAGCACUGCCUGUGCCCAGACAUCUUCCUCCCCACACAGGGGAUCACUUCUACAAGCGGAACAAGAACCUCCCUCCAGAAGAGCAAAUGAUCUCUGCCUUGCCUGACAUCAAAAUGCUGACAAUAAACGAUGACCACGACUUCAUGGUCAUUGCCUGUGAUGGAAUCUGGAACGUGAUGAGCAGCCAGGAAGUGGUGGAUUUCAUCCAGUCGAAGAUCACCCAAAAGGAUGAGAAUGGAGUGCUGCGGCCACUCUCCUCCAUCGUAGAAGAGCUGCUGGAUCAGUGCUUGGCUCCAGACACCUCAGGGGAUGGCACCGGCUGCGAUAACAUGACCUGCAUCAUUAUCAGCUUCAAACCCCGUAACACACACCCACCCGCUGAGAGUGGGAAGCGGAAACUGGGGGAGGCAGCAGCACCAGCAGAGGAGAACGGUGGGGACAGCACCAAGAAGGCCAAACUGGAGUAGCAGGGCCCACCUGGGGACUGGGCUGUGCUCACCAGACUCUCGUUUCUUACCCAUGCUGAACUCAAGACUGCAGGUCUUGUCCUUUUUUUAGCCUUAGCAGAGGCCUUGUUUGUCCGUGUCCUGGUCGGGGGGUGGGGCGGGUCUGGUUAGCAAGGGCAUGUCGCACUGUUCAUCCGUAACCAUUCCAAAGAGGGAGCCAGGAUGAGCCGCGCCCGGGAGCGCUGCACCGCAGUCUGCUGAGGAGGAGGAGGAGGAGGAUGUCCCCCCAUUGUCUCCAUGUGGUUGUUGCCAUUUCUGUGCCUGUGAAUUUCUGUUUGGAGGGAAGAACUUUUUCACUGUUGAGGUUUUUUUAAUCUGCACCCGAUUAUUUAAGGCCCUUUCUGGUUUUUUUUUGUGAAACAAUCUGGCGGUGGUGCUGCAGCCACGCCGUGUUCAGUUGUACACUUUCAAUCAAUACUUUUUUCAAACUAAAAGACCAGAAAAUAUA
This is an RNA transcript of Passer montanus (Eurasian tree sparrow), 4070 nucleotides long. It is a transcript of the gene named protein phosphatase, Mg2+/Mn2+ dependent 1G, with no coding region annotated. The record is from RefSeq and is a predicted model, not a curated record. NCBI's taxonomy places the organism in Eukaryota, Metazoa, Chordata, Aves, Passeriformes, Passeridae. The transcript has 11 exons.